Molecule: ribosomal RNA, 447 nt
Filed under: uncultured bacterium
Lineage: Bacteria
Description: bacterial SSU rRNA
Rfam family: Bacterial small subunit ribosomal RNA
Source: RNAcentral
AGUGAACGCUGGCGGCAGGCCUAACACAUGCAAGUCGAACGGCAGCACAGAGGAGCUUGCUCCUUGGGUGGCGAGUGGCGGACGGGUGAGGAAUGCAUCGGAAUCUGCCUAUUUGUGGGGGAUAACGUAGGGAAACUUACGCUAAUACCGCAUACGUCCUACGGGAGAAAGUGGGGGACCUUCGGGCCUCACGCAGAUAGAUGAGCCGAUGCCGGAUUAGCUAGUUGGCGGGGUAAAGGCCCACCAAGGCGACGAUCCGUAGCUGGUCUGAGAGGAUGAUCAGCCACACUGGAACUGAGACACGGUCCAGACUCCUACGGGAGGCAGCAGUGGGGAAUAUUGGACAAUGGGCGCAAGCCUGAUCCAGCCAUGCCGCGUGUGUGAAGAAGGCCUUCGGGUUGUAAAGCACUUUUGUCCGGAAAGAAAAGCGCUCGAUUAAUACUCGGG